This 648-nucleotide long non-coding RNA is filed under the name Mytilus galloprovincialis (Mediterranean mussel). Lineage: Eukaryota; Metazoa; Mollusca; Bivalvia; Mytilida; Mytilidae. The record is from RNAcentral.
CUUACAUUGGAUGCCCAAUUUGUUUUGCCAUUAGUAGCAUCAAUACAUAAAACUUUAUAUACAUCAUACACAAUAUUUGGUUGGUCCUUAAUUAAAUGCAACCAAUAUUUAACAAUUCUAUAUUUUCUUGAAAUACACAUCGGAAAGUGUCCGAGUUCACCACAUAAAAAAUAAACAGCUGCGCCAUGAGCGCAUGAUACGCCCGACGUCUUGUGUGGAAGUUUUAUGCAAUAAUCAUAAAUAGUUUCUGAGGAAGUUUUAAGCAAUAACCAUUUAUUGUUUUUGAGACACAGCGGGACAUGUGAAACCCCCCCCCCCCCCCCACGCUGUUUUUUUACAAAUAUCACUAAAAUAAAAUUUUGAAUCAAACCAAAAAGUAAACAGAUCUUUAAAUUAGUAUAACAAAGUAGUGUGUACAGUUUCAAGCAAUAAUCAUAAAUUGUUUUUGAGAUACGGCGCGACAUGUAAAAAAAAACCCUCCCCUUUUUUACAAAAUACUCAAUAACUCAAAAAUAAAAUUUUGAGUCAUCACCAAAAAGUAUACAGAUCUUGAGAUUAAUAUAACAAAGAAGUGUGUAAAGUUUUAAGCAAUAAUCAUAAAUCGUUUUUGAGAUACAGCACGACAUGUAAAAAAAAAACCUCCCCCUU